Molecule: ribosomal RNA, 459 nt
Filed under: uncultured bacterium
Lineage: Bacteria
Description: partial 16S ribosomal RNA
Rfam family: Bacterial small subunit ribosomal RNA
Source: RNAcentral
CCUACGGGGGCAGCAGUGAGGAAUAUUGGUCAAUGGGCGGAAGCCUGAACCAGCCAAGUCGCGUGAGGGAAUAAGGCCCUACGGGUCGUAAACCUCUUUUGCCGGGGAGCAAGGGCGGGGACGUGUCCCGGCCUGGAGAGUACCCGGAGAAAAAGCAUCGGCUAACUCCGUGCCAGCAGCCGCGGUAAUACGGAGGAUGCGAGCGUUAUCCGGAUUUACUGGGCGAAAAGGGUGCGUAGGUGGUUUCUUAAGUCAGAGGUGAAAGGCUACGGCUCAACCGUAGUAAGCAUUUGAAACUGGGGAACUUGAGUGCAGGAGAGGAGAGUGGAAUUCCUGGUGUAGCGGUGAAAUGCGUAGAUAUUAGGAGGAACACCAGUUGCGAAGGCAGCUCUCUGGACUGUAACUGACACUGAGACACGAAAGCGUGGGGAGCAAACAGGAUUAGAUACCCGUGUAGUC